Molecule: ribosomal RNA, 600 nt
Filed under: Micromonospora sp. BS-007
Lineage: Bacteria; Bacillati; Actinomycetota; Actinomycetes; Micromonosporales; Micromonosporaceae
Description: bacterial SSU rRNA
Rfam family: Bacterial small subunit ribosomal RNA
Source: RNAcentral
CAGGCUUUGGGAUAACCCCGGGAAACCGGGGCUAAUACCGAAUAUGACCUCUGACCGCAUGGUUGGUGGUGGAAAGUUUUUCGGCUUGGGAUGGGCUCGCGGCCUAUCAGCUUGUUGGUGGGGUGAUGGCCUACCAAGGCGACGACGGGUAGCCGGCCUGAGAGGGCGACCGGCCACACUGGGACUGAGACACGGCCCAGACUCCUACGGGAGGCAGCAGUGGGGAAUAUUGCACAAUGGGCGGAAGCCUGAUGCAGCGACGCCGCGUGAGGGAUGACGGCCUUCGGGUUGUAAACCUCUUUCAGCAGGGACGAAGCGUAAGUGACGGUACCUGCAGAAGAAGCGCCGGCCAACUACGUGCCAGCAGCCGCGGUAAGACGUAGGGCGCGAGCGUUGUCCGGAUUUAUUGGGCGUAAAGAGCUCGUAGGCGGCUUGUCGCGUCGACCGUGAAAACUUGGGGCUCAACCCCAAGCCUGCGGUCGAUACGGGCAGGCUAGAGUUCGGUAGGGGAGACUGGAAUUCCUGGUGUAGCGGUGAAAUGCGCAGAUAUCAGGAGGAACACCGGUGGCGAAGGCGGGUCUCUGGGCCGAUACUGACGCU